UUUUUUUCUCUGAAUUUGAAGGAGUUCUUUGACCUAUUCUGAAUGGAGUGUCCAACACCAUUAUUGUGGGUGAUUGAGACUCAUCCGUAUGAACUAUUCACCUUCGUACCUCCCGUUUACAACUCAGCAUUGCUGGAAGAGCUGAACAGCCGCAUGGAUCAUUUUUCAAUUAUAGAAAAACAAAUUCUAAGCCUGAGAGAAAAAGUGCAUGAGAAAGAAAGGGAGGAAUAUAGCUGCUAGCAGACAAGACAUAUACUUCCCAGCUCCACCACUGUGACUCUUUUAAUUCAAAGAGAUUUUUCAAUUUUCCAGUGAGAUUCUGGCCUCAAUUCCUGUCCUAGGCUCAGAAAAAGCACAAUAGUUUCUUUAUACAUCUUUUCUUUUAAAAAGCUCCCUGGAAAAUAUUGUAAAUAUGCUACUAUAUUGAGGUUUGAUAAUAAAGGGAAAAAUUUUGCUCUUUAUACCCA
Molecule: long non-coding RNA, 467 nt
Organism: Homo sapiens (human)
Lineage: Eukaryota; Metazoa; Chordata; Mammalia; Primates; Hominidae
Source: Ensembl